GGGGCGGGGAAGGAGAGCCACCUCCAAGUGGAGACCCCAACUCGAGCUUCACUGUUCCAAAGCGGUGGGCCAGGCGGCUGGAGAGAAACUCGCUCCCGUGAGGCCACACCCAGGCCUGGCGCACCCACCCCGCGGCAGCAGUGGAGGGCGUCGCCCUCCCGGGCCUUCCGACGCAGACCCUGCCAUCCGGAUGCUGCGGGAAGUAGGGCAUCCUCACGUCCCUGACUCCUCCGGCUCCGCGCGCUCACGGAACCCAAGUGGAGUGGGAAGCGGUCACACAGGCGUGUGCCGUCCCCGAAAUCGUUGCUCCUGUGGUGGUGACCCAAAGCGAGACAAAGCGCCGCGCCAAUACGGGCUGCAGUGAUUGGAACUCAAACACACACAUCUCUCCGCGAAUGUGUUCCAUCCGUGUAAAUAUGCCUGGGUGAUUGAAUGGAUGGCUGAAUGAACGCUGUGUGGAUAGAAAUAUAAAUGUUACAUGUAUAAUACAGGCGCCGGGGAAGGAGAGCUGUCAGGCACCCCCAGGCUGGAGCCUCCUGCCCAGAGGAGCCGGUGGAGACAGGCGGUUCGCCCAGGGCGGUGUUGUUAGCUUGGGCUUUCCAGUUCGAUUUGUGCCACUAUGCAGGAUACUGUGAAGAGAAGAAAAUGGAGACAACUCUUGGCCUCUCAUUUUCCCUCCUCUCUGGUUCAGACACUCUGGCACUAAAAGUUAUGAUUCUCAUGUGCUGUUGAACCUACACUUCCUUGCUGGUCUGUCUUGUUCCGGUGAGAGGCUUUGCAGUCUGUGACCAUGGUGCUAUGAGAUGGUCAGGCAAUAUGAAAAUUAGUGAACGUGCUCAUUUUCAUUUCGUGGAUUCUUCUUAGUAAAAUAAUUAUUUAAAUAGUUAAAUAAUUUAAAUAGUUAAAUAAUUUAAAUAAUUAUUUAGGCUAAAAUUAAUGUGCUGCUACUAUGACAAGGAAGUGCCUAUGAAUCCAGCAUUGGAAAUACAAUUGUGAAAUUAAAAAAUAAAUCCU
This 1014-nucleotide long non-coding RNA is filed under the name Homo sapiens (human). RNAcentral's name for it is "HSALNT0327424". The record is from RNAcentral. Lineage: Eukaryota; Metazoa; Chordata; Mammalia; Primates; Hominidae.